UCUACGGGUGGCAGCAGUGGGGAAUAUUGCACAAUGGGGGAAACCCUGAUGCAGCGACGCCGCGUGAGUGAAGAAGUAUUUCUGUAUGUAAAGCUCUAUCAGCAGGGAAGAAAUAGCGACCUUUGGGUCGCCAGACGGUACCUGAUUAAGAAGCCCCUGCUAACUACGUGCCAGCAGCCGCGGUAAUACGUAGGGGGCAAGCGUUAUCCGGAUUUACUGGGUGUAAAGGGAGCGUAGACGGCAGCGCAAGUCUGAAGGGAAAUGCCGGGGCUUAACCCCGGAACUGUCUUGGAAACUGGGCAGCUAGAGUGCAGGAGAGGUAAGUGGAAUUCCUAGUGUAGCGGUGAAAUGCGUAGAGAUUAGGCGGAACACCAGUGGCGAAGGCGGCUUACUGGACUGUAACUGACGUUGAGGCUCGAAAGCGUGGGGAGCAAACAGGAUUAGAUACCCUUGUAGUC
Molecule: ribosomal RNA, 458 nt
Filed under: uncultured bacterium
Lineage: Bacteria
Description: partial 16S ribosomal RNA
Rfam family: Bacterial small subunit ribosomal RNA
Source: RNAcentral